GAUGAACGCUAGCGGCAGGCCUAACACAUGCAAGUCGAGGGAGAAGCCCUUUCGGGGGCAGAAACCGGCGCACGGGUGCGUAACGCGUAUGCAACCUACCUUUCACAGGGGGAUAGCCCGAGGAAAUUUGGAUUAAUACCCCAUAAUAUUAUUGGAUGGCAUCAUUUGAUAAUUAAAACUGCGGUGGUGAAAGAUGGGCAUGCGUCCUAUUAGCUAGUUGGAGUGGUAACGGCACCCCAAGGCUACGAUAGGUAGGGGUCCUGAGAGGGAGAUCCCCCACACUGGUACUGAGACAGGGACCAGACUCCUACGGGAGGCAGCAGUGAGGAAUAUUGGUCAAUGGUCGGAAGACUGAACCAGCCAUGCCGCGUGCAGGAAGAAUGCCUUAUGGGUUGUAAACUGCUUUUAUAUGGGAAGAAUAAGGUGUACGUGUACAUUGANGACGNUNCCA
Molecule: ribosomal RNA, 451 nt
Filed under: uncultured bacterium
Lineage: Bacteria
Description: bacterial SSU rRNA
Rfam family: Bacterial small subunit ribosomal RNA
Source: RNAcentral